RNAcentral lists this non-coding RNA (98 nucleotides) under Bacillus sp. (in: firmicutes). RNAcentral's name for it is "Bacillus sp. Guanine sequence". It matches the Rfam family "Purine riboswitch aptamer". Rfam says of the family: Riboswitches are metabolite binding domains within certain messenger RNAs that serve as precision sensors for their corresponding targets. Lineage: Bacteria; Bacillati; Bacillota; Bacilli; Caryophanales; Bacillaceae. The record is from RNAcentral.
AAAUACUAUUCUCCAUCCUCUCGUAUAACCUUAAUAAUCGGAUUAAGGGUCUCUACAGAAACCGUAAAUUUCUGGCUACGAGGAAAAUAUGCUCUUUU